Molecule: long non-coding RNA, 2730 nt
Organism: Vigna radiata var. radiata (mung bean)
Lineage: Eukaryota; Viridiplantae; Streptophyta; Magnoliopsida; Fabales; Fabaceae
Exons: 2
Source: RefSeq, a predicted model, not a curated record
UUUGUGUGUGUGUUUCUUUGUUUGUGCGUGUCAGUUUUGUUGUAUUUGUUUCUUUGUGUCUAUGUGUGAGUAAGACUUUGUAUGUGUUUUUGUUUGUGUCUGUUUGGUUGUUCUUUUUCUCUAGAUAAAUGAAAGACUAAUGAGAAAUUCAUAUUCCAUAUUGUUUGUUAAUUUGGUUUGAUGUUAAUUUAAUAUAAAUUAAAGAUAAACUCUUGUAAACUAUUGUUUUUAGCUUGUAAAUACCUUGUUUUUUAUGCUUUUAGAAUCUGUUUAGGAUUAGGUUUUAUUUUUAGAAUUUAUAGUUACAUGUAGGAUUUCUUUUCUUCUAUUCCUGUUUCUGUUUUAGUUUCUCUUAGUCCUGUUUGAAGCAUUAUCAAUUGUCUUAGGUGUUUUUCAUUUUCAUGAUCUGUUUUAGUUUUUUUAAAUAAGCAUUUGUUUCAUUUUUUUUUCCUUAUAGGUUCUGUUCUCAGAUUUUAAUAUUUGGGUUCUGUUUUGGUUUUUAGAAAUAGCUUUCUAGGUUCUUUUAUAUUCAUUGCUACUGUUAGGAUUUUUUUAGGCUCUAUUUCUUUUAGAUUUGAAUCUGUUUUAGUUUGGUAGGUUCUUUUUAGGUUGCAUUCUGUCCAGUCUCAGAUUUUAUAGGUUAUAUAGUUUUAGGUCAUACUGUUAGACAUUUCUAGGUUCUUUUUGAGUUCUAUUUCAUUCUUUUCUCAAUUCUUUGCUGAUUUUAUUCUUUUCACAGUUUCAUUUCUCUUAGUUAGAACUGUUCAUGUAGUUUUCAGCUUUAGAUUCAAGUAGAUGUAAUCCUAGCAUAAUUUUUGCGUUUGAGUUCAUUUCAAUGAAGCAAUUUUUGCAUAAAAGAGAGUAGAAGGUCAGUUUUAGCAAAUUCUCUUAACCUGGGGAGAUUUUGGGCCCAAUUUUUGUUUUUCUUGAGUGAUUUCGUGCAUGUUUUACUUUUGACUCUAAUUUUGCAUUGAUUCUUUAUGAUAAGCUUGCUCUUGGUAGAAUUUAGAUAUGAUUUAGGCAAUUUUUUUCUUCAUCCAUAACCAUUUAUUUUACUCAUUUCAGUUUUUCUUACCAUUGCACCUUUCUUUUGAGCUUUAGCCAUAUUCUUUGUUCCAUUCGUUACAAGCCCUUUUCCCCGUCAAUUAUACCACCUAUAGAAACCCGAGAGGAAGUAAGGAUCUGGAACUUGGUGAGUGAAAAAGAGAAAGAAAGGCCAGUAGUGAAAGAGAAGAAAAGGAAAAUGAGCUUAGAAAUCUUAUUGAAAAAGAAGAAAGAACAGGUCUGAAAAAAAAAUAGCAAAUAAACUAAAAGAAAGUGAGACCUGAUGUGUGUAAAAAACCAGAGAGAAAGAGCAAAGAAAUUGAAUUGGCCGAAGUUAAACAUAGAGUGCACUGAGUUCUAGGUUCCUUACUUCUCUUCCAGUUUCUAUUUCCAUUUAGCCUUGUGUUUUAUGACCUUUCAUACCAUCUCAUUACAAGCCAUUAAGACCUUUUGAUCUAGAUGAAGCCAAGAGCUGAGCAUGGUCACUUAGAGUCUUUUCAAAAUUAAGAGUUGAGGUUAGCAUGUCAUGCUUGAGUGAAAGCAGACCACCUCUAAACAGUUGAGUGAAUCUAAGUGCAAAUACUUGUUCCUGUGAGGCUGAAACUGACUUAUACUUAUCUGAGUGUGUUCAUCGCUGAAAUUGGUUGAAUUUGGUUGUUUCUGAAAUGCUGGGAUUGCUAAAACUGAGGUUUGAAGUUGAGAAUUAUGAUUGUGCAGUUCUCUUUGAUGAAAUGGCUGUGAAAUGAUUGAAAUUGAAGGAUUGAGUGAAGCUGUGAAUAAAUCUUGUGUACCUUGUGUUCUGUUGAGUCUUUUCUUUCGUAAAUUGAGUUUGUUAUUUUUCUUUUUCUUUUUAGUUUGUCCCUGUCCAGGAGGGCAAUUGUCUAAGUGUGGGGUGUGAUAACUCCUUAUAUUUGCAUAUUUUUUAGUGUUUACGAGUCUUUCUUAGUUUCUUUUAGGCUUUAAAUGGGUAAAUUAGGAUAAUUUUUAGUUUUUCUUUAAAUUCUGGAGUUUUGUGAAAUUUUAGUUAAAAAUAGAUUUUUAGUGUAUUUUUUUAUACAUUUGCAAAUAAGUAGGAAAUUAACACUUUUUGAAAAUUCUUUUGAUAAAAAAUUGUUUUGUUUUAGUUAGAUUUUAAUUGCAUAAUUUUCUUCUUUUCCUUAUUUGCAAUUUAACCCUUUAAUUCAAGAAUUUUCUUUUUAUAUGGGCUGUUUUGCUAAGAUGAAAAUAUUGAUUGGGCUGAUUUGGUUGUGACUAUUUUCUGUGCAGGAAUGUGUUUUUAAUUGGGCUGCCACAAAAUUAAUUGGAACGGUGCCAUUUUGGUGUGUGGCUUGGCAGUAGCUGUUUGAUGAGGGGUCCUUGCUCAAGCAAUAGAUUGGAGUCAGACAUUCUCUACACGCACUCUCACUUUGAAGAAACUCACCCUCCAGCUAGGGCAAGGUACGAAAGGACCCUGACCGGAGGAGCUGACCGGUGCUGUCACUUGGAUGAUCAAACGGCUAGUAGAGAGCAAGGAGGAGGCAGAAUAAAGAGGACCGCUGGAUCAAGUUGAGGGUUUCGUUUUUCCUUGCCUUUUGGAGCGAAUCAUCACGAUGGUGAUAGUCUGUGGUGGCUCCAAUUGCGAUUUCUGUUAGGUACAUUUCAUGUACUUUCGUUUCUCGUUAAUAAUAAUUCCUUUCUUGAUGUUUC